Molecule: transfer RNA, 73 nt
Filed under: Anaerolineae bacterium
Lineage: Bacteria; Bacillati; Chloroflexota; Anaerolineae
Also listed under: 1 other name
Rfam family: tRNA
About the family: Transfer RNA (tRNA) molecules are approximately 80 nucleotides in length.
Source: Rfam by way of RNAcentral
GCCGACGUAGCUCAAUCGGCAGAGCAACUCACUUGUAAUGAGUAGGUUAGGAGUUCGAUUCUCCUCGUCGGCU